AGGUCUCGCCUGCCCAGUGAUAACUUCAACGGCCGCGGUACCCUAACCGUGCAAAGGUAGCAUAAUCACUUGUUCUUUAAAUAUGGACUUGUAUCAACGGCAUCACGAGGGUUGCACUGUCUUCCUCCUCUAAUCAGUGAAACUGAUCUCCCUAUGAAAAAGUAGGGAUGAUACUAUAAGACGAGAAGACCCCAUGGAGCUUUAAACCCAAUAGCAACUCAGCAAAACAACCCCUUCCAGCUACAAACUAUGCUAACGGCUUUAGGUUGGGGUGACCACGGAGUAAAAUUCAACCUCCACAACGAAAAGACCUAAAUCUUAACCUAAGAGUUACCUCUCUAAGAAUUAGAAAACUAACGGACUGUGACCCGAUUAUCGAUCAAUGAACCAAGUUACCCUGGGGAUAACAGCGCAAUCUACUUCAAGAGUUCAUAUCGACAAGUGGGCUUACGACCUCGAUGUUGGAUCAGGGUAUCCUAGUGGUGCAGCCGCUACUAAAGGUUCGUUUGUUCAACGAUUAAAACCCU
RNAcentral lists this ribosomal RNA (527 nucleotides) under Raorchestes sanjappai. RNAcentral's name for it is "partial large subunit ribosomal RNA". It matches the Rfam family "Bacterial large subunit ribosomal RNA", at positions 1850 to 2597 of the family's 2925-position model. Lineage: Eukaryota; Metazoa; Chordata; Amphibia; Anura; Rhacophoridae. The record is from RNAcentral.